UUCAGUUUUGUCUCAGAUUGGAGACUCUUUUGCCUUCCGAAGCUCAUCGAAAUCGGCUCGUGGUCGUGGAAGCUUGUGGCUAGCUCGUGCUCAGUGUCGCUGCUCCAAAGAAGAUUUGAAUAGUCAUGAGUCAACAAGAGCCUUCAAAA
Solanum tuberosum (potato) is the source of this 149-nucleotide long non-coding RNA. RefSeq lists it as uncharacterized. The transcript has 2 exons. Lineage: Eukaryota; Viridiplantae; Streptophyta; Magnoliopsida; Solanales; Solanaceae. The record is from RefSeq and is a predicted model, not a curated record.